Molecule: long non-coding RNA, 684 nt
Filed under: Homo sapiens (human)
Lineage: Eukaryota; Metazoa; Chordata; Mammalia; Primates; Hominidae
Description: HSALNT0386080
Source: RNAcentral
AUUGGCCCCAUCUGCAGGUCCUCUUUGACACCUACCUUACUCUCUCCCUCCACUCACACUCUGAGAACUGUGCUCAGGGGCAGCGCUACAACUUCCACAUUGGUCUUUACAGGGCUUGAGUGAUUAUUUCAAGAACAGAACGCUGUGUGGAAACCUUUACCAUAUUUCGUUGUAUCUAAGACACAUUUUUUUUUUUUGAAAUUUAACAUCUCUAAGGUUGGGUUAUGUUUCUUCAUCAUUGUCAGGUUGGAGCUUAAUCAGCAGCACUUUUUUUUAAUGUCACACACAGUAAUGGUGAUGCAUCUCACAAUUGAGAUCAUCUUAGACAUGAUGGAAUAUGGAAUCGUGUGCCUGUUACAAGCCAGGCUCUUGUCUGGGUUCUAGAGACGGUGGAAACCAAGACAGCACCAUCCUCUAGUGGUGUUCACAUCCCACCACAGUGGAGUCAGGACUUUGAAGUCCUCCAUUGGAUCUUCUCGGAAGAUGAGGGAAAUGAGAGAGUGUGGAGAGAGAUUUUGUAAGUCCGGUCUGGAAGUGGUCAUUGUUCAGAAUCCAGCCACGUGGGUACAUGGAACUGUAAGGCUAUUUCAACAUGGGAAACUGAAAUCGGGCAUAUCCCUGCGGAAGAAGGGCCCCAAUCUGUGCUAGCAGGGGAGGCAGAAAGCAGCUGUUUACCUUUGAGGG